Molecule: ribosomal RNA, 396 nt
Filed under: uncultured bacterium
Lineage: Bacteria
Description: partial 16S ribosomal RNA
Rfam family: Bacterial small subunit ribosomal RNA
Source: RNAcentral
AUACGUAGGGGGCGAGCGUUGUCCGGAAUGAUUGGGCGUAAAGGGCGCGUAGGCGGCCCGGUAAGUCUGGAGUGAACGUCCUGUUUUUAAGAUGGGAAUUGCUUUGGAUACUGUCGGGCUUGAGUGCAGGAGAGGAAGUGGAAUUCCCAGUGUAGCGGUGAAAUGCGUAGAGAUUGGGAGGAACACCAGUGGCGAAGGCGACUUACUGGACUGUAACUGACGCUGAGGCGCGAAAGUGUGGGGAGCAAACAGGAUUAGAUACCCUGGUAGUCCACACUGUAAACGAUGAAUGCUAGGUGUAGGGGGUAUCGACCCCUUCUGUGCCGCAGUCAACACAAUAAGCAUUCCGCCUGGGGAGUACGGCCGCAAGGUUGAAACUCAAAUGAAUUGGCGGGG